GAUGAACGCUGGCGGCGUGCCUAAUACAUGCAAGUCGAGCGAACAGAUAAGGAGCUUGCUCCUUUGACGUUAGCGGCGGACGGGUGAGUAACACGUGGAUAACCUACCUAUAAGACUGGGAUAACUUCGGGAAACCGGAGCUAAUACCGGAUAACAUAUUGAACCGCAUGGUUCAAUAGUGAAAGGCGGCUUUGCUGUCACUUAUAGAUGGAUCCGCGCCGUAUUAGCUAGUUGGUAAGGUAACGGCUUACCAAGGCAACGAUACGUAGCCGACCUGAGAGGGUGAUCGGCCACACUGGAACUGAGACACGGUCCAGACUCCUACGGGAGGCAGCAGUAGGGAAUCUUCCGCAAUGGGCGAAAGCCUGACGGAGCAACGCCGCGUGAGUGAUGAAGGUCUUCGGAUCGUAAAACUCUGUUAUCAGGGAAGAACAAAUGUGUAAGUAACUGUACACAUCUUGACGGUACCUGAUCAGAAAGCCACGGCUAACUACGUG
RNAcentral lists this ribosomal RNA (497 nucleotides) under uncultured bacterium. RNAcentral describes it as "partial 16S ribosomal RNA". It matches the Rfam family "Bacterial small subunit ribosomal RNA", at positions 28 to 507 of the family's 1533-position model. The record is from RNAcentral.